This 376-nucleotide ribosomal RNA is filed under the name uncultured Paludibacter sp. RNAcentral's name for it is "bacterial SSU rRNA". It matches the Rfam family "Bacterial small subunit ribosomal RNA", at positions 1009 to 1382 of the family's 1533-position model. The record is from RNAcentral. Lineage: Bacteria; Pseudomonadati; Bacteroidota; Bacteroidia; Bacteroidales; Paludibacteraceae.
UCAUCUUCCAGCAAUGGCGAUUGUGUAGGUGCUGCAUGGUUGUCGGUCAGCUCGUGCCGUGAGGUGUCGGCUUAAGUGCCAUAACGAGCGCACCCUUAUCGUUAGUUGCCAGCGGGUGAUGCCGGGAACUCUAGCGAGACUGCCACCGUAAGGUGUGAGGAAGGUGGGGAUGACGUCAAAUCAGCACGGCCCUUACGUCCGGGGGCGACACACGUGUUACAAUGGGGGGUACAGAGGGUUGCUACCAGGUGACUGGAUGCUAAUCUCUAUAAAGCCUCUCUCAGUUCGGAUCGGAGUCUGCAACUCGACUCCGUGAAGCUGGAUUCGCUAGUAAUCGCGCAUCAGCCAUGGCGCGGUGAAUACGUUCCCGGGCCUU